Molecule: small RNA, 29 nt
Filed under: Bombyx mori (domestic silkworm)
Lineage: Eukaryota; Metazoa; Arthropoda; Insecta; Lepidoptera; Bombycidae
Description: ovarian small RNA-19441
Source: RNAcentral
UAAGUGUGCAUCGUCAAUAAUAAGAUUAG